Rhagoletis zephyria (snowberry fruit fly) is the source of this 4037-nucleotide RNA transcript. It is a transcript of the gene named zinc finger protein 432, with no coding region annotated. Lineage: Eukaryota; Metazoa; Arthropoda; Insecta; Diptera; Tephritidae. The record is from RefSeq and is a predicted model, not a curated record.
UCGAACAGAACUAAAUAAUACAAGGCGAAAAAGUAUAUGGACGGUAGAAAUAUAUUUAAAAUAAAAGUUUUAGCUGUAUCUACAAUAAAUUGUCGAGAUUACUGGGAAAAUAAAUUGGACUAAGGAUUCGUAACCAAUUAUGCAGAAGAACAAAAGAACGCGUACAUCAGAGGAAAGUGCUUCCAUUGUUUAUGGAGUGCUCGAUGGCGGCCAAAAUAGAAGUACCAAUUGUCAGAAAGGAAACAACAGAAAUGUUCUUCCAAGGGGGGCAAAAGGAAUAGCACAGCGACGCAACCGACAUCCGCUGCUUUCUGAAGAUGGUGCUCCCAGCGGGCAACGGAUCUAUAGUAACACAAAAUUGUGUGUUAUAUGCGGGAGCAGUGAAGAAAUUGUUGAUUUAUCGACCAAUCCAAUAAUGAGGAAAACGAUGGCAUCCUAUUGUGGGAAUGAUAAUUUGAAUCUCGAUGAAUGUUUAUCAUCCCUUUGUAUAACUUGCGUAUUUAAAUCAAGAGCAAUCAAAGAAGUUCAAAAUAAUAUAAGAGUACGAUUAUAUGGACUUAGUAAUGGUCUUAUGUUGAAAACGACUGAGAAAAAUGAGCUUAAUUAUGAAGAAGUAGAACAUACCAAAGAUGUCUGUCCGGAAGAAACCAAGUUUGGAAUAAAGAAAAAUAUUGAACACAAGACAGAGAGAACUCUUAAAUCUAUUAAAUGUGCCAAUAGUGUUUGUAAGACGACGCAAGCUUCACCAAUAAGAAAUGCUGAAGAGAGCGGAAUUGUUCCGCACAUAUGGAAUAAUUCGCUUACAACUUCUAUUGAAGGGUCCAAUUCAAACAUUCCCCUAUCUAAACAUCCGUACCAUCCCUCUUCAAAUAAGUAUUUUGACAAACACCGUAUUAUCGAUAAAUCCGUUGCCAAAGUUGUGACAUCGGACAAUAGAAAUACUGUCCAAUCGAAAAAUUUGGAUAUGAGCGAGAAUGUACACGUGCCAUCAAUACAACAUCUGGAAUCAAUGAUUACAGAGUAUACUCCUGGGCUACAAACUUCCAUGCCAUUGCGGGAAAAUGCUGAGUUAAUAGGAAGACCCAUACCGAGUUCACAGCUAUCGUCUUGUUCAAAUUCAACGUACUCGCAGAAUGGUGCCAGCCAUUCAAUGCUACAAGUUAUUCGGGAACGCUCUGAAUCUGUUUUGAUUACAGAAUCUGGCGGGAAAAUUAACAACUAUAAACGUUCUUCGCUCCCGCAAACCCAGAGAUUGUGUCAAUACUGUGGUAAAAGCUAUAUACGAAAAGACCACCUUACCAAACAUGUAAGACGCUGUCGCAAUCUGUUUGCACGAAGCUUGCCAUCUUUGGCUACCACUAGCGAAGAAAAUAAAGGAAAUGUUAGUUCCAAGCGCUUUCUAAUCAAUGGAGUGAACAAUUUUAUCUCUCAAACCACCUUUGAGACGUUGAAGCGAGAACGAAAAUUUCAUUGCACCGAAUGUUUAGCAACGAUGAAUAGCUUAACACAGUUGCGGCAGCAUCGUGCCACACAUUUGCGAGAGUAUAUUUGUGAUAUGUGCAAUAAAAAAUUUAGUACUUUGCAUGAACACGAUUUUCAUCGCAUCGUUUGUUUGGCAGAAAGGCAGGUAUGGCAGGAACAGCAUCUUAAUGAAGAUGAAAAAGGACUGCCACUAAAUGAUGACAAUAAAUCUAUUGUCCGAUCCCAGCGAUCAUUUAUAAAAUCAACGGCUAGUCGUCGGAUAACACGCGCUCAAAGUAGAGCCAGGACGAAAGUGGUGGAAAAGCCGGUAUUACGGCGCAGAUUAACAGUGUUAACUAGCUUGUCACAGUACAUAUAUGGGCACACUGAUAAUGAGAAUAGUGACCUAGAUGGUUGCGACUUAGGCAAUGAUGACGAUGAUGAUGUUUCCGUAGCAGACUCAAUGGAGUCAAAUCGGAGAGUCUACACUGAUGAUUGGUUAGAUAGACGCAAUUCGAAUGAAAAUGUAGAUGUACCAACAAUGCAAAUUGAUAGUGAAAAGGAGUAUGAUCUUUACCUUCUGGAAAGGCUAAAAGCUCAGAUAAAAGCUCAAGAGUUUACUUGCUUAUCCGAAGACUGCGGUUUCUUCACUGACACAUUGUUGAACCUAAUGCUACAUGAUUAUGUUCAUCAUUUCAAAAGCUCUUGGUUUUAUUGUCAGAAAUGUGGUAGCGUUUUUACAAGCAAAGUUUUCUUGGACUACCAUCUGGAUCGUCAAAAUGGAGGUCGAUUUAUUUGCUAUAAGUGUAACGAACAAUUCAUGUUUCAACAUCAGUUGGAUUUGCAUCUAAUAGCACACACCAAGCAGGUAAGCCAUGCUUGCGACAACUGCAAGUGCGAAUUUCUCACCGAAGGAAAACUGCUUCAACAUAUAAAGCUUGAACACAACAGUGAAAUAGAAAAGAAAUUAAUAUGCAUUCAAAGUAAAACAACGUUCGCAUCCUCCCGGCCAUUAUACGAAAAUGGGUAUCCAAAUGGAAAACAAAAUAGAAAAUAUACCGUAAACAUACUAAAUAUGCGUCUACCGCGAAUGCCAUCUAAAAGACCCUUGGAACUGCCGGGACAUAAACCAUACCGUCGCCGUAUUGGCGUCAUUGAAUUUGAGAAUGAGAGAAAUCCAAAUUGUUGUAGUUGUAAAUAGUACUGUCAUAAUUGGGAGCAAUGUCCACCGGAAGCUAUGCAAACAUAUUUUUUCUAUAAGGUCAAUCCUAGCUUAAAAAUUUACGCGAGAUUUAAAGAAGACCAAAUACUUGAUGGUACAAAACUUUGAUACUUUUAAUGUUACUAUCGUAAUAUGCAAGUCAUUUUGUUGCAAGUGUAAAUCAGCUCGAAUACGUUUAUUUUAACUUUUCUGAACCAAGUUCUUCGCUAGCAUCAAAAUUUAAAGAAUUGCGAUCCAUUUAUUUCGAAUUAUAAAUGGCUAAGAAUUGCUUGAACUAUUUAUAUUUUUGUUUUUACUUAUUAGGUAGCAACAUUUUUUUUUUUGGAGUAAAUGUGCUGCUGCCUUUUUAAAUGUUGAAUCAGUAGGAUAGCUUUUAGUAAAAAGUAUUUCCAACUGCAGCUUUUUUGAAAACCAUUGAAUCUGUUCAUUAGAUACUUAGGAAAAAAGGCUUCAUUUAACACUAAAUAUUUAAAAUUCAUUAGUUUUGCUGUACCCAAUUUUGUUAUUAAAAUAUUAUAGUCGUGAACCAAGGCCAGUGCAUAAAAAGGGGAUGUUGUUAGACCAGCUUAUUUCUUCGCCUUGUUCUUGCUUUUACUGAUUUGACAGUACACCCGUCAAAAUCGAGUUAACUUUGACAGCUAACCCGCAAAAUCAAAAACAAGAUACAUGGAAUUGUUGUUUUUGUAUUCUUGCUACCACCUUUUAUAAACUCGCCUUGGUCGCGAACUUUAAUCCAGCCUUGUGACCACGCAGGCUUAAAGAAGUCUGCACCCUUCAACCCUAAUUAAAAAUUCAAGAGAAAUGAUUAAUAAAAGCAUACACAUACAGACAUCAGCGUUGAUCCGGAUCAACUCGUUAACUCGGAAUUAACUGCACUUUACCCGGAUUAAGUCCAGAGAUAAUUCUCAAAAUGAAUGCGGAUCAGUGGAAUUUUCGUUGACAGCACAGACCAAAACGGCCAGAUAAAUUCCAUUGUGAAUGUAAACUAAACAAAGGAAACAAAGCCAGUGAAUGUCGUGUGAGCGGUAGCCCAGUGGUCAUAACUGUGUACUACUCGUACCACUCAACGGAGCCAGGUUCACUCCUGGGGAUGAGCUUUUUCCAAAAAUUAAAUUUCUUAUUUUUUAUUGUUAUUUUAUUUUGUACAUAAACAUAUUUAUACGUAUACACAGAACCAAAUCGCUGUGCGAAUUUCGUCGGUCGGAGCGAUGCCGCCGGGUGAUAUUCGCUGCAACAUUUCGCCCAGUAAAACAGAACAAAAAGGAAAAUCACAUCAAUUGAAUGGCAAACAAAAAAUAUUAAAAUAGAAAUGCGAAAAGAUGAAUCACCAAAUUUUGCCAUUCUGACUCUUGCU